This 220-nucleotide long non-coding RNA is filed under the name Elaeis guineensis (African oil palm). Its description in RNAcentral is "long non-coding RNA (EGUI_LNC003462)". The record is from RNAcentral. Lineage: Eukaryota; Viridiplantae; Streptophyta; Magnoliopsida; Arecales; Arecaceae.
GUGGUAAGUUACCAUGUAAUUCAAUCCUUCAGUCAAACAACAUCCCAGAUGAGCUAUCGGCAUGGAAUCAUAUUAAACCCAAUUACUUAUCUAUAUGUAUCUCAAUCAAAAGGUGAUGAUUCAGUUGAUGAUAUAUUAGAAAUCUCUUUCUAAUUAUCAUUCUACUUUGGUCAAAGACUUUCAGAAUCAUCGACCUAUGAGAUCACAUAGGAUGUUCACU